RNAcentral lists this unclassified non-coding RNA (283 nucleotides) under Hevea brasiliensis (rubber tree). Lineage: Eukaryota; Viridiplantae; Streptophyta; Magnoliopsida; Malpighiales; Euphorbiaceae. The record is from RNAcentral.
GGAAUAAAACAAUCCAUUGAUAGGCCUGGGACAUUGAAAGCUGCUUCCUCAAUCGCCCAUGCUUCUUCCAUUCUGGUCCUCGUGUGGCUCAUUGCGGUAUCUCCAAACCGGAAAAGGGUAACUACAGAACGCCCUGAAUGAGCAAUCAUAACACCAUCCACAGGCCUAUAAUCAUCAAGGAAAGAAUUGAUUGUCGUCUCCCAGUACACAGCAUCACCUCCAUUGUUUUGAAUGCGGGUCAAAUGGGAGUCCUCUAUGUGAACAAGGAGCCCAGUUUUCUGAC